RNAcentral lists this ribosomal RNA (440 nucleotides) under uncultured Sphingomonas sp. RNAcentral describes it as "bacterial SSU rRNA". It matches the Rfam family "Bacterial small subunit ribosomal RNA", at positions 338 to 795 of the family's 1533-position model. Lineage: Bacteria; Pseudomonadati; Pseudomonadota; Alphaproteobacteria; Sphingomonadales; Sphingomonadaceae. The record is from RNAcentral.
CCUACGGGAGGCAGCAGUGGGGAAUAUUGGACAAUGGGCGAAAGCCUGAUCCAGCAAUGCCGCGUGAGUGAUGAAGGCCUUAGGGUUGUAAAGCUCUUUUACCCGGGAAGAUAAUGACUGUACCGGGAGAAUGAGCUCCGGCUAACUCCGUGCCAGCAGCCGCGGUAAUACGGAGGGAGCUAGCGUUGUUCGGAAUUACUGGGCGUAAAGCGCACGUAGGCGGCUUUGUAAGUUAGAGGUGAAAGCCUGGAGCUCAACCCCAGAACUGCCUUUAAGACUGCAUCGCUUGAAUCCAGGAGAGGUGAGUGGAAUUCCGAGUGUAGAGGUGAAAUUCGUAGAUAUUCGGAAGAACACCAGUGGCGAAGGCGGCUCACUGGACUGGUAUUGACGCUGAGGUGCGAAAGCGUGGGGAGCAAACAGGAUUAGAUACCCUAGUAGUC